Equus caballus (horse) is the source of this 2013-nucleotide non-coding RNA. The record is from RefSeq and is a predicted model, not a curated record. Lineage: Eukaryota; Metazoa; Chordata; Mammalia; Perissodactyla; Equidae.
CCUGUUUCAAUUCCCGCCUGCUCCUCCUCAAUGGAAGCUCCGUAUAUGACACGUAUGAGCAUAAGAAUGGUGUCAAACCUGCCCAGGAUACCAGAAAUUUCUGUGAAUUUGGAUGAUGAGGAUUAACCAGAGUGUUUCUCUUCACCCCACAACACCUGCUCCUGAAAAGGAAGCAUUUGUUCCUUGCAUGCAAAUCAUUUUGUAUUAAAGAGGCAUCUAAUGAGCAUCGGAUGAAAGUCCCCUGGAGCAGGUUGCAUUUCCUUCUUCUUGAAGUACAACCACAGUAUUUCAUUCUCGGAAAGUAGUAAGUCCUCUAAGUUUUGGACUAAAAAUGUCUCUGUUUCAUCCUCAGUCUUAAACGAAAAUUUAGUUAAAAAUAGAACUGUAGGCUGAUACUCUCAGACUGAAGGUAUUAGUCCAUUAUCUCGUGGCUUAUACUGUUGCUGUUGCAAAGUCUGUGAACAUUUUAAUUUUUAUUCUUCUUUUUUAAUCUGUCUUUUUUUCUCUGGUUUCUUUGAAUAUUUUUUCUUGUUUUUGAAAUUCUGAAUCUUCAAUAAGAUUUGUCUGGAAGUGGAAUUAUUUUUCUUUUUCUUCAGGAAUCAUUGUUCUCCUUGAGACAGAGGAUUCAUAUCUUUCAUCAAUUCUAGGAACUUCGAGGUUAUUGACUCUUCGGAUACUGCUUGUCCUUGACUUUCCUUCUCCUCUGAGAACUCUUGGUGGACAUGGUUUGUAUGCUCUCAUUCCAUCUUCCAUGUUUCUUAACGUCACUUUCACGUUUUUCUCUCUCUAUAUCUCUAGCUGUGCUGCAUUCUUGGAAAUCUCUUCAGAUCUAUUUUCCAGUUGACUAUUUCUCCAGUCAGUGGUGUCUACUCUGCUGUUUAAAUCAUUCAUUAAAUUUUUUCCAAGAUAUUUUUCCUAAAAGUUCUACAUGAUUCUUUCAAAUCUGUCAAUUACUUUCUCACGUUGUCCUGUUCUUAUGACUUGAAAUCCUUCUUUUAUGUAUUUAAUCACUUAUAUUUAUUUUAUAUUAUCUUUCAUAUAUUGUCAUUCAAUUAUCUGAAGUUCUUAGGGUAUAACCUGAUUUUUGUUGUCUCUGCUUUACAAAUCUUUUAUGUCCUCUGUGGGAGUAUAUCUCUCUUUAAAACGUUUUUGCAUUCAUUCCUGCAAAGAGUCCUAGCUGUAUCCCCAGUCUGGGAACAAUUUUUUUGAAAAAUUUUUGGUUUGGCUGCUGCCAGACUGUAUGGGUAAUACAAAUUCACCACCCAAAACUCAGAUGAACUACAGCCCUGUGGUCAUGAAUUUGGGAGGCGAGGGAAAGGGGAUCUCUUUUCCACUCAAAGAGAGGCAAGGUUCCUGUUGUCCUUCCAUACCAGUGCACAGAUUUUCCUAGUUCACCCCUUCACUGAGGGGAUAGCCAUUUGAGCCUGUGGGUCGAAGGAGAGGUUGGGUUCAGUUCCAGCUCUGCCUUCUUUCUCAGCUCAUGGCCUCAUGUCCUGUAGCCACGUGGGCAUUAAAAUCCGAGUUCCUGGGCUACAGAGAUUGAUGACCUGCUUUGUGUCCUCCUCCGACCCAGGAAUAAACAAGAGCUGAUGAUUUUGGCUUUCACUUCCCUCUGUUUCUAGAACCAGGGGAUUUCCUCUCUUUCUCUUAAAGCUAACUUGUCAUUCAAAAGAAUGUUUGCUAGAUUUCAUCCUGAAUUUCUGGAUAUUUGCGGAAGGAUUUGAGAUCAUCCAGUUCUUCAUAUUUCUAGAACCAGCAAGGUUACUGACACAGGCUUGUUCACUCCCUGCCUCCACUUCCUCUGGUUCUAUUCAGUUCUCAACUAGAACGUUCUGGCUUUUGCUCCCCUCUCUGGAGCAGUCCAUUCUAAUAAUACCAAACUGCACACACCAAAAUGAUCCCUCCACCUGAAAUUCCCCUCACUCUCUCUUGACCUGUUUACUCCACUUUUAGCUAUUCAUUAACCAGGAGGGCAUAUUUUCCUCUUCUCUGAGAAGGCUUUCCUUUUUUUUU